RNAcentral lists this ribosomal RNA (600 nucleotides) under uncultured bacterium. RNAcentral's name for it is "bacterial SSU rRNA". The stretch from base 1 to 521 matches the Rfam family "Bacterial small subunit ribosomal RNA", at positions 338 to 873 of the family's 1533-position model. The record is from RNAcentral.
CCUACGGGAGGCAGCAGUGAGGAAUUUUCCGCAAUGGGCGAAAGCCUGACGGAGCAAUGCCGCGUGAAGGAUGAAGGCCUAUGGGUUGUAAACUUCUUUUCUCAGAGAAGAAAUUUUGACGGUAUCUGAGGAAUAAGCAUCGGCUAACUCUGUGCCAGCAGCCGCGGUAAGACAGAGGAUGCAAGCGUUAUCCGGAAUGAUUGGGCGUAAAGCGUCUGUAGGUGGCUUAAAAAGUCUCCUGUCAAGGAUCAGGGCUUAACCCUGGGCCGGCAGGAGAAACUCUUAGGCUAGAGUUUGGUAGGGGCAGAGGGAAUUCCCGGUGGAGCGGUGAAAUGCGUAGAGAUCGGGAGGAACACCAAAGGCGAAAGCACUCUGCUGGGCCACAACUGACACUGAGAGACGAAAGCGAGGGGAGCAAAAGGGGAUUAGAUACCCCCGUAGUCCUCGCCGUAAACGAUGGAUACUAGAUGUUGGAUAGGUUAAAGCAUUCAGUAUCGUAGCUAACGCGUGAAGUAUCCGCCUGGGGAGUAUGCNCGCAGAGAGAACGUACGAAGAAGUAGACGACGAGAGACGUGACGACGACGACGACGAGGGAGUAGG